Molecule: RNA transcript, 2318 nt
Organism: Sapajus apella (tufted capuchin)
Lineage: Eukaryota; Metazoa; Chordata; Mammalia; Primates; Cebidae
Gene name: importin-7 pseudogene
Exons: 1
Source: RefSeq, a predicted model, not a curated record
UAUACGCUUAUCGUAAGACCUGGUAUUUCUACUUCUAUUCAUUUACCAAAGAGCAAUGAAAACGCAAGUCCACACAAAAAAACCUCAUAUAUCAGUGUUCAUAGUAACUAAAAUGAGGGAAAAAAUCAUGUCCUUAAGCAGAUGAAUGCAAAACAAAUUUUAGUCUAUUUAUAUCAGGGAAUACUCUCAGCAAUGAAAAAGCAGUGUAUUAGAGAUACCCAUGACACAUUGUUGAGUCUCAAAUAUAUUAUCCUCAGUUAAAAAAAAAAUCCAGAUCCCAAAUAAUACAUGCUGUAGCAUUUAAUUCAUCUGGAUUACUGAUACGGGAAUUCUGACUACAAUUGACACACUUCUUAGUGUAGUUGAAGGUCAUAAAGAGAUAACCCAACAGCUUGAGGGAAUCUGCUUACAGGUCAUUGGUACUGUCUCACAACAGCAUAUCUUAGAAUUCUAUGAGGAGAUCUUCUCUUUAGCACAUAGCUUGAUAUGUCAACAAGUGUCUCCACAGAUGUGGCAGCUACUACCCCUUAUAUUUGAAGUCUUUCAGCAGGAUGGCUUUAAUUACAAAUAUGAGUCCUCUCCUUCAUAGUUAUGUAACAGUUGUUACACUUCUGUCUGAUACCAAGUAUCUUGAAAUGAUAUACAGUAUGUGCAAAAAGGAUUCUUUCAGGAGUUGCAGGAGAAGAUGCAGAGUGUCAUGCAGUGAAAUUGUUGGAGGUCAUUCUGUAGCACAAAGGGUGGGGCAUUGACCAGUGCAUUCCGUUGUUUGUGGAAGCAGCCUUAGAAAGACUGACAGGAGAGGUUAAGAUAAGUGAACUUUGACUAUGUGUAUGCAAGUUGCAAUUGCAGCCUUGUAUUAUAAUCCACACCUACUACUCAAUGCCUUAGAAAAUCUUCACUUCACUAAUAAUGUUGAACCAGUUACAAAUCAUUUUAUUACACGGUGGCUUAAUGAUGUUGACUGUUUCUUGGGGCUUCAUGACAGAAGAAAGAUGUGUGUUCUUGGAUUCUGUGCUCUUGUUAAGAUGGAACAGAUACCCUAAGGUUUAAACCAGGUUCCUGGACAGAUUGUGCCAGCUUUUAUCCUUUUAUUUAAUGGAUUAAAAAGAGCAUAUGCCUGCCAUGCAGAACAUGAGAAUGACAGUGAUGAUGAUGAUGAAGCUGAAGAUAAGGAUGAAACCAAGGAAGUGUGGGGAAUGAUGAAGAUGAUAUCGAUGAAGAUGGGCAAGAAUAUUUGGAGAUCUUAGCUAAGGAGGCAGGCAAAGAUGGAGAUGAUGAAGAUUGGGAAGAAGAUGCUGAAGAGACUGCUAUGGAAGGCUAUUCCACAAUCAUUGAUGAUGAAGAUAACCCUGUUGAUGAGUAUCAGACAUUUAAAGCUAUCUUUCAAACUAUUCAAAAUUGUAAUUCUAUGUGGUAUCAGGCUCUGACUCAUGGUCUUAAUGAAUUCAGAACAAAGAAAACAGUGACAGGACAAAGCAACUCUGGCUGAUCAAGGAAGAGCAGCCCAUGGAUCCAAAAUGAUGGAGAAGCAUGGGGGAUACGAAUUCAGUGCUCCAGUUGUGCCAAGUUCUUUAAAUUUUGGAGGCCCAGCACCAGGGAUGAAUCCAGUUACCUCUUUCUUUCCUGCUGUGUGAUUGUAGUGAAGAGCUUGUGUUCCUUCUAGUAGUGCUUCCAGAACUAUGUUAUCUGUUCUAAACUCAUGAUCAAUAGAUGAACAAAAAACCCAUCAAUCCCAGGAGAUGGGACCUGAUCAUGCAACCGGGCAAUGGAAAAGAAACCAGCAGGAUUUUUGGGAUGGGGGGAUGGAGGGAGCUUAGGGGGUGAAUUUUCUUUAUUUUUUGAAGAAAGUAAGAUCUUAACUCUGAAGCUUCAAAGUGACCCUGUGGAAAUCUGAAACGAGGGGAUGUCAUGAAGGCAGAUUUUCUUUUUCUGAGGAAAAAAAUAGGCAUGGGCUACAGGACUAUUUAAAAUGUCUCAUUUACGGUAUAAAGCUCAAAGGUAGAUGUAAGUUUUACACCUAUGAGUAUUUGUCCAGUUUCUGUCUGUUCCUUACCAUUGGGUAUUCUUUAUAUGUAAAUAUGAUGAGAUAAUCUGAUAGCCUUAUUCAAUCUUCAUCAUUUUCAUUCAUCAUUGUUCCUACGUAGACUAUUGGACAUUUAUUGUAGCACUACAUAACCAAUUAUAAAAAUCUGUAAAUGAAUUAGCACUUUCAUAUUGAAACAAGCCUGCUAGCCUAUGUAUAAAAUAGCACAAUGUUUGCUGUUUAUAAAAAGAUGUAAUAGGGUUGGGGGCAAGGGUAAUUUCAAGUUAUUAGUUUU